UUUAUUGGAGAGUUUGAUCCUGGCUCAGGACGAACGCUGGCGGCAUGCCUAAUACAUGCAAGUCGAGCGGAGUUGAUAGGAAGCUUGCUUCCUUGAUACUUAGCGGCGGACGGGUGAGUAACACGUAGGCAACCUGCCCUCAAGUUUGGGACAACUACCGGAAACGGUAGCUAAUACCGAAUAGUUGUUUUCUUCGCCUGAAGGAAACUGGAAAGACGGAGCAAUCUGUCACUUGGGGAUGGGCCUGCGGCGCAUUAGCUAGUUGGUGAGGUAACGGCUCACCAAGGCGACGAUGCGUAGCCGACCUGAGAGGGUGAUCGGCCACACUGGGA
RNAcentral lists this ribosomal RNA (332 nucleotides) under Paenibacillus sp. BGI2013. RNAcentral describes it as "bacterial SSU rRNA". It matches the Rfam family "Bacterial small subunit ribosomal RNA", at positions 1 to 318 of the family's 1533-position model. The record is from RNAcentral. Lineage: Bacteria; Bacillati; Bacillota; Bacilli; Caryophanales; Paenibacillaceae.